Molecule: ribosomal RNA, 301 nt
Filed under: uncultured bacterium
Lineage: Bacteria
Description: partial 16S ribosomal RNA
Rfam family: Bacterial small subunit ribosomal RNA
Source: RNAcentral
CAGCCGCCGCGGGAAUACAGAGGGUGCGAGCGUUAAUCGGAUUUACUGGGCGUAAAGCGUGCGUAGGCGGCUUCUUAAGUCGGAUGUGAAAUCCCUGAGCUUAACUUAGGAAUUGCAUUCGAUACUGGGAAGCUAGAGUAUGGGAGAGGAUGGAAGAAUUCCAGGUGUAGCGGUGAAAUGCGUAGAGAUCUGGAGGAAUACCGAUGGCGAAGGCAGCCAUCUGGCCUAAUACUGACGCUGAGGUACGAAAGCAUGGGGAGCAAACAGGAUUAGAUACCCCGGUAGUCCCUGUCUCUUAUAC